CUACGGGUGGCAGCAGUGGGGAAUAUUGGACAAUGGGGGAAACCCUGAUCCAGCAAUGCCGCGUGUGUGAAGAAGGCCUGCGGGUUGUAAAGCACUUUCGGUUGGGAGGACUGCUUCUAGCACUAAUAUUGUUGGAAGUUGACGUUACCUUCAGAAGAAGCACCGGCUAACUCAGUGCCAGCAGCCGCGGUAAUACGGGGGGUGCAAGCGUUAAUCGGAAUUACUGGGCGUAAAGCGCGCGUAGGCGGCUAGAUCAGUCGGGUGUGAAGCCCCGGGCUUAACCUGGGAACUGCAUCCGAUACUGUCUAGCUUGAGUACAGGAGAGGAGAGUGGAAUUCCACAUGUAGCGGUGAAAUGCGUAGAUAUGUGGAGGAACACCAAUGGCGAAGGCAGCUCUCUGGCCUGAUACUGACGCUGAGGUGCGAAAGCGUGGGGAGCAAACAGGAUUAGAUACCCUCGUAGUC
This 464-nucleotide ribosomal RNA is filed under the name uncultured bacterium. RNAcentral's name for it is "partial 16S ribosomal RNA". It matches the Rfam family "Bacterial small subunit ribosomal RNA", at positions 339 to 795 of the family's 1533-position model. The record is from RNAcentral.